ACCUCCCAGCUCGGUGCCCACGGUGCCAGCUUUGCCGUGUAUCUCCCAGCCCGCCGUAGCGGCCUAUGCUCGACGUAGAUUUUUUCUUUCUCUUCGGAGCCGUGACGGACUGAAUUCCCUCCCCUUCUGCCUCUCCCUCGAUGGUCAGCGAGGGGCUGGCUCAGGACUGGGCAUUCCUACUCCCUCUCCUUGGCGAGGCGGUUCCUCGCCGUCUGACCUUUGCUCCGCUGCCGCAUUUUAUGCUAUGCAACUGCCUUGCAGUUGACUUUUUCUUGCCUGGCCUCUGUAAGGCCUGAGGCUCCUCGGCCACCCUGUACCUCCCUAUCCUCGGGCACCGAGCUGUGCCAGGCCCCGGAGCCCCCAGGCCGCGCUAGGGCUGCGGUGGGGGUUGAAGGUGCGUUUACAUAACACCAGGCGUGUGGGAGCUGGAGGAAGAGGUUGCGAACGUAGGAGAGAUAAGGCUCCUACUUUCCCUCCUUCCUUCUUGGUGGUACCAGGCUUGACAUCACAGAGAAGAGGAUAGAGACGGGCCCCUAGAAGCCUGUUUCUCCAUACAGUCCAGGACCUCCAGCCCC
This 575-nucleotide small RNA is filed under the name Pan troglodytes (chimpanzee). RNAcentral describes it as "processed transcript". Lineage: Eukaryota; Metazoa; Chordata; Mammalia; Primates; Hominidae. The record is from RNAcentral.